UUAUGGAGGUGGCUACUUCUAUAGUUAAGAGGUGUCAAGGUCUACCGCUAGCGAUUGUAUCUAUGGGAAGCCUGUUGUCCUCAAGGAAACAAACAGAAUAUGCCUGGAAUCAAACAUAUAGCCAACUUAGAAAUGAGAUGAUAAAAAAUGAUCAUGUCCGGGCGAUCCUAAAUCUGAGCUACCACGAUAUGCCAGGAGACCUAAGAAACUGCUUCUUGUAUUGCAGCAUGUUCCCUGAGGAUUACUCCAUGUCAAGGGAGAGCCUUGUGCGAUUAUGGGUUGCACAAGGCUUUGUAGUGAGAAAAGAUGGUAACAAACCAGAGGAUGUAGCUGAAGGAAAUCUCAUGGAACUCAUUCACCGUAAUAUGUUGGAAGUUGUUGAGAAUGAUGAGCUCAGCAGGGUGAGUACCUGUAAGAUGCAUGACAUUGUGCGCAACCUGGCUCUUGAUGUUGCUAAAGAGGAGAUGUUUGGCUCAGCAAGUGAUAAUGGCACAAUGACGCAGCUGGAU
RNAcentral lists this long non-coding RNA (509 nucleotides) under Oryza sativa (Asian cultivated rice). RNAcentral's name for it is "long non-coding RNA (OSAT_LNC001945)". Lineage: Eukaryota; Viridiplantae; Streptophyta; Magnoliopsida; Poales; Poaceae. The record is from RNAcentral.